RNAcentral lists this ribosomal RNA (255 nucleotides) under uncultured bacterium. Its description in RNAcentral is "partial 16S ribosomal RNA". It matches the Rfam family "Bacterial small subunit ribosomal RNA", at positions 524 to 777 of the family's 1533-position model. The record is from RNAcentral.
UACGUAGGGUGCGAGCGUUGUCCGGAAUUAUUGGGCGUAAAGAGCUCGUAGGCGGUUUGUCGCGUCGACUGUGAAAAACUGGGGGCUUAACUCUCAGCUUGCAGUCGAUACGGGCAGACUUGAGUUCGGUAGGGGAGACUGGAAUUCCUGGUGUAGCGGUGAAAUGCGUAGAGAUCGGGAGGAAGGCCGGUGGCGAAGGCGACUUCCUGGCCUGUUCUUGACGCUGAGGCGCGAAAGCUAGGGUAGCAAACGGGG